Molecule: ribosomal RNA, 432 nt
Filed under: uncultured bacterium
Lineage: Bacteria
Description: partial 16S ribosomal RNA
Rfam family: Bacterial small subunit ribosomal RNA
Source: RNAcentral
AACGAACGCUGGCGGCAUGCCUAACACAUGCAAGUCGAACGAGACCUUCGGGUCUAGUGGCGCACGGGUGCGUAACGCGUGGGAACCUGCCCUUAGGUUCGGAAUAACUCCCCGAAAGGGGUGCUAAUACCGGAUAAUGUCUUCGGACCAAAGAUUUAUCGCCUUUGGAUGGGCCCGCGUUGGAUUAGCUAGUUGGUAGGGUAAAAGCCUACCAAGGCGACGAUCCAUAGCUGGUCUGAGAGGAUGAUCAGCCACACUGGGACUGAGACACGGCCCAGACCCCUACGGGAGGCAGCAGUGGGGAAAAUUGGAAAAGGGGCGAAAGCCUGAUCCCGAAAGGCCGGGUGGGUGAUGAAGGCCUUAGGGUUGUAAAGCUCUUUUACCCGGGAUGAUAAUGACAGUACCGGGAGAAAAAGCCCCGGUUAACCCCGG